Molecule: long non-coding RNA, 798 nt
Filed under: Elaeis guineensis (African oil palm)
Lineage: Eukaryota; Viridiplantae; Streptophyta; Magnoliopsida; Arecales; Arecaceae
Description: long non-coding RNA (EGUI_LNC074996)
Source: RNAcentral
UUGCGGAAUGCCAUAUUUAUUCGAUAAUUUAGUUAUGGUACAAAAAUCUUAUCCUGUCCUUCUCCUCUUAAAGUAGAGCAUCCAAGGACCUGCUCUCUUAAUUUUGCCUAUGCACCUGCAUCAAAAGUUAUUUCUUUCUUAUAGAGCUAUUUACACCAACCUUCUUUACAAGGUCACAAACUUCUACCCUAAAAACAUACAGUGAAAUUUGUUAUGAAGGAACAAAAGAAAACAUAUAGUGAAAUGAAAAAUUCUUCUUUGCUUGCAAAAGCCACGUGGAGAACACUCUUGACACUUGCAUCACAAGUUACACCAAAAGACCUACUUCCUUGAACAUACCAUCAUCUCCUUCCUCUCAUAUUACCCAUAUGAUUCCAUUCUCUAGCCUCACUUGCAGGCAAAGACAUGGAAGCUCCUGACCCCAAAAUCUUUCCUUAAAUGAGGUGGUUCGAUGGCAACAUGAACUCACAAGGGAAUUAAUUCCUGCAUCAUCUGCCUCUGAUGUCUUUUAUGUCCUUCACUGAACCUCCAAGCUUCUCUGGAGGAGGUGUCAUGAACCCAUGCACACCGGUAUUGAAUUCGGUCAUCUCGAACGCUACAGCAGCUGAAGAGAUGAUAUACUUGUGGUUAUCCGGCGGAGGGGUCAUGAACAUGUUGAUAUUGGCAUUGAAUUCGGUGUUGUUGGACAGUGCUGCACCUGAGGAGAGACACUUGUAGUGACGUCUAGACUUGUUUCUCUUGAUAGCUCUAUAGACCAAGGGUAUCAGUCCCUCCAUUUUUGCAUGCAGGUGGGGGAAG